RNAcentral lists this ribosomal RNA (465 nucleotides) under uncultured bacterium. RNAcentral's name for it is "partial 16S ribosomal RNA". It matches the Rfam family "Bacterial small subunit ribosomal RNA", at positions 28 to 507 of the family's 1533-position model. The record is from RNAcentral.
GACGAACGCUGGCGGCGUGCUUAACACAUGCAAGUCGUACGGUAAGGCCCUUUCGGGGGUACACGAGUGGCGAACGGGUGCGUAACACGUGAGUAACCUGCCCACAACUUUGGGAUAACGCUAGGAAACUGGUGCUAAUACUGGAUAUGUGCUCCUGCUGCAUGGUGGGGGUUGGAAAGCUCCGGCGGUUGUGGAUGGACUCGCGGCCUAUCAGCUUGUUGGUGGGGUAGUGGCCUACCAAGGCGGCGACGGGUAGCCGGCCUGAGAGGGUGACCGGCCACAUUGGGACUGAGAUACGGCCCAGACUCCUACGGGAGGCAGCAGUGGGGAAUAUUGCACAAUGGGCGCAAGCCUGAUGCAGCAACGCCGCGUGCGGGAUGACGGCCUUCGGGUUGGAAACCGCUUUCAGCAGGGACGAAGCUUUUUGUGACGGUACCUGCAGAAGAAGCACCGGCUAACUACGUG